GUCAAGUCAUCAUGGCCCUUAUGGCCAGGGCUACACACGUGCUACAAUGGUCGGUACAGAGGGUUGCUAAACCGCGAGGUGGAGCUAAUCCCAGAAAGCCGAUCCCAGUCCGAAUUGGAGUCUGCAACUCGACUCCAUGAAGUCGGAAUCGCUAGUAAUCGCGAAUCAGCAAUGUCGCGGUGAAUACGUUCCCGGGCCUU
This 200-nucleotide ribosomal RNA is filed under the name uncultured organism. RNAcentral describes it as "partial small subunit ribosomal RNA". It matches the Rfam family "Bacterial small subunit ribosomal RNA", at positions 1184 to 1382 of the family's 1533-position model. The record is from RNAcentral.